AACGCACAUUGCGCCCGCCAGUAUUCUGGCGGGCAUGCCUGUUCGAGCGUCAUUUCAACCAUCAAGCCCCCGGGCCUGUGUUGGGGACCUGCGGCUGCCGCAGGCCCCGAAAACCAGUGGCGGGCUCGCUGUCACCCCGAGCGUAGUAGUUUACACCUCGCCCAGGGCGCGACGCGGGUUUCCCGGCCGUUAAACACCCCCCAUCUAAAGGUUGACCUCGGAUCAGGUAGGAAGACCCGCUGAACUUAA
Molecule: unclassified non-coding RNA, 249 nt
Filed under: uncultured Sordariales
Lineage: Eukaryota; Fungi; Ascomycota; Sordariomycetes; Sordariales
Description: sequence contains ITS2
Rfam family: 5.8S ribosomal RNA (bases 1-52)
Source: RNAcentral